UCCAUAAUAUACAUUAGCCUCUCAUUUAUCAUUUUUUCCAUUAAUGUACAACUAUGAGAAGUCAGGGCAAUAGGCCUAUAGCUUGCUGGUUUACUAACGUCCUUCCCAGGUUUCCUUAUCGGAACAAUAGUUGCCUCCUUCCAGCUCUUUGGUAAUUUACCUUUCUCCCACACUUUGUUAUACAGCAUCAACAACUUUUCUUUCUCCUUUUCACUUAACCGUUUCAACAUGCUAUAACAAAUGUCAUCUUUUCUGCCCUAUUUAGUUCUCCCAUAUUAAAGACAUGUUAUUAGAGCUGUGCACCUCGGCAAAUGUAUUUACAACAUUUCAGCUUUUUCUUUAUUCGUCACUGACAUUUCAUUUUUUCCUGCCACUUUAAUCCUGCCAUAUCUAAAUGGUGUAUUGCUGCUUUAACAAUAAUCUGAAUUCUUUCCGUUUUAGACUUAACUUCAGCCGUAGCAUUCAUCAGCCCUGCUAUGAAUGUCACUAUUUUCUUCUUCUCUUCCCAUUUCUCCUUCUUCUCGUACUGGCCUUUUUUCAACUUCUUGGCUCUGCUUCUUCUUUUCCUUUUCCACUCUUUUAACAGCUUCAUUAUAUGAGAUGUUUACCUGUGUUUUUAUCUGUUGUACUUUAACUUCUUUCUUCAUCACUUCACACCCCCAAAAUGCCACACUAUGAUCCCCUCCACAGUUACAACACUUUGGUCUUACGUCUCCACACGUUCCAUAUUCAUGAUCCCCAGUGCAUCUAGCACACCUUCUCUUUCCUUUACAGACAUUAGCCAUGUGCCCAGAUUCUUGACAGUUAUAGCAUCUCAAUGGUUUAGGCACAUUCUCCCUUAUGCUGUAUCUCAUAAAUCCAUAGUAUACCUCUUUUGGAACCUCCUUUGUUUCAAACUCAAUCAACACAGACUCGGUUUCCACUCGACCUCAUUUGAACUUGUCAGCCUCCCGUUUGCUUUCAGUUUGAAGUAGUUUGAGGUAUUUGUACAAACUAAACUAAGCGGUCACCAGACGUGACUCAAACUGUGCUUGUAAUGGUUUCUGUUCACUUAAUGGGUCUCAGCAACAGAACCAGAAUAAGUCCAUGUUUCAUUGGGUGGAUUCAGAUCUGCAGUAUUAUUAUUGGAUUAUUUUCUUCUAUGUUUCCCUUGUGAUUUAGAUUUAAAAGUGGCCAAAAGAGGGCGUCGCCCGGGACGUUUCAUUGAUCACGCUCCCUUGUGUCCUCUGGCUUUUUGAAAGAGGAAUCUGGUGCAUAAAAGAUGAAAAGCAGAGAUUCCGAGCAGUCGCACAGAGCCACACCGCUGAGGAACGACUAUUUGAUCAAUGGAACAUCAAUAUGUUCAGAUGGAACAUUUUCUGACCAAACUGGAAAAAGAAAAACAAGCUGAAGGACAAAUGAAUGCAGGCGUGUGCGUGGUGUGUCGUUUGUGACGUAUCCUCAGGCUUCCUUUGACACUUUGAACCAAUCCAUUUCACACAUACACCACAACGAGGCCUUUUCUCAGGGAAACACUGUCAAUGCAUAAAACUACUUUGUCAUGCUGUUGCACCUUGAAUUUAGACAGAAAAUCAUGCUUUUGUCAGUAUUUGCAGUGGAGCAUCCUGGUAUUUUUUGUGGUAAUUACACACAUGAAAUGUCAAGUGUACCUCACGUUAAUACUUCUAGAAGAUCCCACCUACUGACUUUUAAGAGCUCUUGCCUCCAGGCUCUGGCUCCUUGUGUUUGAAAUGUCCAACUAAUGUUCAUUUAGUGUUUUUCUGUCAUCAGGGUUCAACCCGUAAUAAUGGAAGACCUGCAAAGCACAAUGUCAAUCAUUCCAUCACCAUGUGGUCUGCUCAUCCUACCUCCAGGCCUUACUGAAGGUUGAGAUCUUCUCCAACAAGAGGCCUGCUGGGAAGGAUUGAACAGCUCUGCACUGCUGUUGCCCUCUAGGGGUCAAACUGAUUCUUCCUGUGGCCAAAACAAAUAUUCAGUUUACAAUCAUGUGACACGAGAAAAGACCAGAUUAUUCAAUACUUUGUUUGUUGUUGAAAUAAAUAAAAUCUUCCAAUUUCAUAAACUGAGAAGGUUUUAUGUCAAAGAUCAGCAUACGAUCUAGUUUCUGAUAACUUGUCUAUUGAUUGUCCACAAGCAAAAGACUGCAGAAGGACGGAUGGCGUUAUAAAAUAUAUACAUAGAAUAUCCAAGUGUAGCUGAUUCAAUCCUCUUCUGCAAAUACACAAUUAGAAAUGAUAUCUAAACUUUUUUACAUUUGCCCCAUUUUAAAAAAGCAGAGUCAAUUGUGGUACAGACAAGGUCCCACAAAGAUCUAAACAUCUCAUAAACAUCUCAUGUUGAUCUCUGAGAGGAUCCUCAGUGACUUUAUUGUGGAGGUUUAAAAGCAGGAAGGACGUCUGUGUGUGUUUCCUGUUCUUUAACCACUUCUUUUAAGGAUGUUUCUCAAACAAUAAGAAAGUACUUUAUAUUACUCUGAAUAAUAUUAAUACAUCACUAUUGUGAGAAUGAGUGGACACUUGAUACGGAUCAAUGUGAAAAAAGAGAAAGACCACCAGUUAGUAAAUUACUGAAGAUAGUUUAGACUCUGCAGAAAGCGGACCACUGUAGGUCAGCCCCUCCCUGUGGGUUAUGAGGGGGGGGGGGACUGAGUAGAACGUUUACAGUUGGGUAAAGUUGGCAAGAUCUUCACAGACAUUCUCAGACUUCCAGGUUCAAAAGGUCAUCAGCGAGACGUAGUUAAAACACUAAAGACGCCUCAGUGUGACGUCAACAAUCCAAUCGGCCCCAAUGUUUUACAACGGGGAGCAAAAAUCACCUUUCCCUCCCCAUGGAAGAAGGACCAGUGUUCCACCCUGUGCUCUCACUCACACUGAGUAGUGUUUGUACUGUUCUCUCUAAAAAAAGGGUUCACUUUGACUCUCUUUGAGGUGUUUAUGGUUUAUGGUUUAGGUAAAUGGUAAAGAUUCCUCCCUUUCUCCUCUUCACCUUUUCUGCCACAAUUUGUGGGUUUUUGUCCCCAAACCAUAUAUUUGACCUGGUUGCUGGUAGUAAUGUGCAUUUCUGUGUCCUUUCUUCAGUGCCAGCUGGUCUGCCCUCUCAUUGCCACGUACACCUACAUGCGAGUUGAAGCUGACCUCCCUGAUGAUUCCUCCUUGGAGCUGACUGGAGGACAUGGUGCAGUAGACCUUGCUGGCUAUUUGAAGGACACGACCUCAUACGCAUCAGGGCUGAAGAUGAAUCGGAGCAGAUCGACACAUGUUCCUGCUGUGUUUCUUCCACCCGUCGCAGUGCAAUCCUUACUGCCAACAUCUCCACUGUGUGGAGCCCCAGAUCAUUAGAUGUUCUCCUGUUGAUAGCCAUCCCUUGACUUGGUAAAGACGCCCCACACCCUGCCCCCCCCUUUUUAAGUAGCCGAUGGUGGAAAGAUUCUUCCCCCUUGUAGGACAUCUGCUGGAGGAGCUUCAGUAGCAGAGGAGAGGAGAGAGGGGUCCAGCCGCAGCUCCUGAACUUCUUACUUCACUUUGCAGAAGGGGGGCUACACACAGGCUUUUAUUUUGGUGGGGGGUCAAAUAGGUGAGUGGGAAAAGUUUUUUUUAAUUAUAUUUAUUUAUCUAAUAAUGUUAAUUACAAGAACAAAUAACAAAUACUGUAUAUAACAGAUACUAUUAUAAUUUUGUUCUAUAGUUUUAUGCUUUCAAGUGUGUCUUGUAGUAAUUGGACCUUACUUCUUUGUGGGCACUUUUGCAGCUGAAUUGCAAUGCAAAUGGAAAGUUAUCUGCAAUGUUUAAUGUCAGCACAUGUUGUGGAAUGACUUUGGCAUCUGUCCUGCCUCUUUGGGAGGAUCGGUGUUCUUUCCUCCUGGAAGUAGCUGCUGCUCGAGGCCUGUUAACCGCAGCCAGACUGUGGCCAUUGGGAGCACGAGGGUCCAUAGAGCAAGAGAAAACACCACCAAUAACAUUUCAGAGAUCUGCCAUGUGACAUAACCCCCCCCCCCCCUUUUUGUUCCUUCAGUAUAUUUUAAAAAGCAGGUGGACAAACAAGCGAAUCCAUGUUUGAAAACAGUGUAAUGUGAAUUUUUCAAUUGAACACACACACACACACACACACACACACACACACACACACACACACACACACACACACCGUACGCUGUUGAAGAUGAGUACUCGUGGAGAAAUCAGGCGCGGCCCCCCCCCCGGGGCUCCUUGAGUUGAUAACGUCAGGUUGGUGAUGCUCCAUCUCAGUUCUUGAUCAUUUGGUGGGCUCCUUGUUUGUCAUCUGGCUGCUGUGCAUUCGGUGUGUCCCGAGAUGUACCCCCCCGCCCCCCCUCAAAGGGUAUUUUAUAAUGAUAUUCUUACCCUACCUUACAGCAAGCAUGAACCCAGAUGGCGAAGCUCUGUGCUGACGCCUCACUGUCGAACGCAUGCUCACUCACCUCAACGAGCUCUGCUAAUGAGUGCAGGUAGACAUCGUGGUCAUUAGCGCAACAUUAGCAUCAUCCAUUAUGUCCUCUUUGGUUGUUAAAACACUCCUUUCCCACACAAUACAACACAUUUUCUGAUUUAUUUUCUAAAGAAUGAGGGGAAUUAACACUCCCAUGAAGAACUAACCAUAGGAUACUCUUUUAAUUGAUGGUGUGUAACUUGCUUAAUACAACGUGAACGUGGUACUUUUAUCUCCAGCUCUAACUUCUAUGCAUGUAAACAGUCUAUAGUAUCACACCUUUACUAACCAACUCUACUGGGUAGCCUAGAAGCUGUAAAAUGGAAUAUCAUUUGAUCAUAUGUUUGUCAUCUGUGUGUGUGUGUGUGUGUGUGUGUGUGUGUGUGUGUGUGUGUGUGUGUGUGUGUGUGUGUGUGGUCCCAACUGUAACUACAUGGAAACUACCAUCCAGUUGGUCAGAGUUGUUGAUCCAAACAACUUUCUCAUGUACAUGACGCAUGAUGCUGGGAUCACGUUAGCUCAAUGUUAAAGGCGUUGGGGCCUUGUCACUCUGUAUAUCGUUUCCUGAAUGUAUUUAUUAGUAGUAGUAUUAUUAUUAUGGGCCUUUUUGAGUAAGCCCAGAGCCAUUUGGUUCUCUGGUGCCUUCUCACGCAUUAUGCUGCCAAUGAAAAAGUACACAAGGGUCUUUUUAAAAGGUUUGCAAUGGAUGUGUGCCACUCACUUGUGUCGAAAGUUCAAAACCAAAUAAACGCUUUUUGGUCUUUGAAAUAUGUUUAUAUACAAUGCGUAUAUAACAUAUGGUGUUCAGUUCUGUCCAGAGUUACGUCAUCAACUACACGGCAACCUGGAUUCCAUUGUAUAAUGGUGCUGGUGUGCGUUUCAGUAAUGACGGUCGUUGCUGUUGUGUGUGUGUGUGUUUUGUUGUAAUGACUGCACUCAGCAUGCGUUGGAUGCUCCACUCACUUUUUGCACCUCGGGGGACUCCGGCGUGGAGUCGCCAGUGUGCCAGAGCUUGAGUUGCGCCCCGUCUCGGUCGAGCAACUCAAACAAACGCCAUUUUGCUCCGAAAUGGCUUCUCACACCUUUCAAUGUUGUCACGCGUCGUUUACUCGUCCCCCCCCUCACAAAAACGGACGUCAGUGCUGUGUGUCUUCUGUCCCCCAACAACGAGAAAAAUCCACUUCAGUCACAACGUGUUUGUCGUUGGGAUCAGUGUGAAUGCGCCUUUUAAUGGAGUCACAAAUAUCACCACAUUAACACACGUGCGCCCAUACCUGUCGCCAUUCAACAGCGUGUCACCUCUUGUUUGCAGUGGAACCCCCUCAGACAUGAAAUUUAAAAUCCUAAAUGAGAACUCGGUGGAAACGUCAUGGACGAGACCCUCGUCGCGGACAGACGGCUUCAGACUACAAGUGGUGUCAGACGCAGAUGAACCAGUCAGAGACUAAAAUCACUGACCUGACCCCUGACUUGGACCACUCGGUGUCCAUAAACUCCUAUUACGGGUCCGAGGAGAGCAUUCCCAUCACUGGACAACUGACCAUCCAGUCCAGUAACACCAGUGGACACGUCAAGAAGCCAAAGUCAGACGCUAUCAACUAAAUGAGUCAGACAAACAUUUGACCUUCUGCUUUGGUAGUCAGUGGGGGGGGCACACGUUGGCUCCUAUAAUUAAAACCAGUCUGUCAUCAAGGAAAGGUGUGUGUGUGUGUGUGUGUGUGUGUGUGUGUGUGUGUGUGUGUGUGUGUGUGUGUGUGUGUGUGUGUGUGUGUGUGUGUGUGUGUGUGUGUGUGUGUGUGUGUGUUCUGGUAAAAAGGUUGAACAAGAGGAACCUUUGAAGGAGACACGUGUCUGGAUUGAGACGCGGCCAAACCUUUGGAGUCGUGAAGGAGACGAAUGUUCAGAAUGGAACGCAGCCGAACAAAAGCAUUUGAAGGUUUAAUGAUGUUGGACUGAAGGGGGGGGGGGGGGGGGUCAGCAGCUGCUAGAUGAUUAAGAUGAAGCUGUUUGUCUGUCGUGUUUCUCAUCAAUCAAUCAAUGGACUUGUUCUCUUUCAUCAUGUUGUUGAUCCGAUCUGCUCUCAUCCAGACGCUCCGGUGUACAAACCCACUGACUUCUAACGCCAUCCGCUGUGUAUUAUAGGAAAUAAAAAGCAUUUUCACUAAUGAAAAACUCUAAAACUAGGAUUCUCUCCAUAAUGUUUCCAA
Long non-coding RNA from Pungitius pungitius (ninespine stickleback), 6650 nucleotides. RefSeq lists it as uncharacterized. The transcript has 4 exons. The record is from RefSeq and is a predicted model, not a curated record. NCBI's taxonomy places the organism in Eukaryota, Metazoa, Chordata, Actinopteri, Perciformes, Gasterosteidae.